RNAcentral lists this long non-coding RNA (437 nucleotides) under Androctonus crassicauda. Lineage: Eukaryota; Metazoa; Arthropoda; Arachnida; Scorpiones; Buthidae. The record is from RNAcentral.
AUUAUGAAUACGAAGAGACAUUGUUAAGCAAUAUGAUAAGUUUAUCAAUGUCAGUAGGGACCAAAGUUGAAAGAACCCCCUUCUAUGAAAAUUCGUGUUCUGCAUUUGGAAGAUUCAAAUGGAUAUUUCAAGUGUUCAUUGCUAGUGAAAUGUUGCUCCCUCAGCAUCAACAUCAAAGCUGUAGGAAAAUUGUCAAGACAUUCCCACCCAAACUUGGGAAUAUGGUUUACUGUUACUGCUGCCAUAUGGGGUGUCAUGCUGUCAUCAAGAUGUAUAGUGCCAAAUGUAUUACAUGUCAAUUCAUAGUGGCUAAUUGUCUACAUAUUGCUAGGAGGAGGAUCCAGUACCAGCAUAUAACGGAUGAUAUAUAUUUUAUAUGCAAAAAUUAUUUUUUGACUAUCCUCAUAGAUAUAAUGUGAUGAUAUAUACUUUAUUUU